Molecule: ribosomal RNA, 253 nt
Filed under: uncultured bacterium
Lineage: Bacteria
Description: partial 16S ribosomal RNA
Rfam family: Bacterial small subunit ribosomal RNA
Source: RNAcentral
UACGUAGGGUGCAAGCGUUGUCCAGAAUUAUUGGGCGUAAAGAGCUCGUAGGCGGUCUGUCGCGUCGGAUGUGAAAACCCAGGGCUCAACCCUGGGCCUGCAUUCGAUACGGGCAGACUAGAGUUCGGUAGGGGAGACUGGAAUUCCUGGUGUAGCGGUGAAAUGCGCAGAUAUCAGGAGGAACACCGGUGGCGAAGGCGGGUCUCUGGGCCGAAACUGACGCUGAGGAGCGAAAGCGUGGGGAGCAAACAGG